RNAcentral lists this ribosomal RNA (809 nucleotides) under uncultured archaeon. RNAcentral describes it as "bacterial SSU rRNA". It matches the Rfam family "Archaeal small subunit ribosomal RNA", at positions 85 to 879 of the family's 1478-position model. The record is from RNAcentral.
ACGGCUCAGUAACACGUGGCUAACCUGCCCUUGGGACAGAGACACCCCCGGGAAACUGGGGCUAAUCCCUGAUAGGCGAAGAACUCUGGAAUGAGUCUUCACCCAAAAGACGCCUAGGCCACGCUUCUAGGCGCCGCCCAAGGAUGGGGCCGCGACCGAUCAGGUUGUUGGUGAGGUAACGGCCUACCAAGCCUUUUACCGGUACGGGCCGUGAGAGCGGGAGCCCGGAGAUGGGCACCGAGACAAGGGCCCAGGUCCUACGGGGCGCAGCAGUCGCGCAAACUUUGCAAUACACGAAAGUGUGACAGGGCUAUCCCGAGUGCCGUCCGCUGAGGGUGGCUUUUACCCAGUCUAGAAAGCUGGGAGAAUAAGGAGAGGGCAAGUCUGGUGUCAGCCGCCGCGGUAGUACCAGCUCUCCGAGUGGUGUGGAUGUUUAUUGGGCCUAAAGCAUCCGUAGCUUGCUGAUCAAGUCCCCUGUUAAACCCAACGAAUCAAUCGUUGGAUUGCGGGGGAUACUGCUCGGCUAGGGGACGGGAGAGGCCGACGGUAUUUUCGGGGUAGGGGUGAAAUCCUAUAAUCCCGAGAGGACCACCAGUGGCGAAGGCUGUCGGCUAGAACGCGCCCAACGGUGAGGGAUGAAAGCUGGGGGAGCGAACCGGAUUAGAUACCCGGGUAGUCCCAGCUGUAAACGAUGCAGCUAGGUGUUUGAGCGGCUACGCGCCGCUCUAGUGCCGCAGGGAAGCUGUUAAGCCUGCCGCCUGGGGAGUACGGCCGCAGGCUGAAACUUAAAGGAAUUGGCGGGGGAGCAC